This 416-nucleotide long non-coding RNA is filed under the name Rattus norvegicus (Norway rat). Its description in RNAcentral is "long non-coding RNA NONRATT031235". Lineage: Eukaryota; Metazoa; Chordata; Mammalia; Rodentia; Muridae. The record is from RNAcentral.
AUUGAACCUCCUACUGCAGUUCCGACUCCAACUCCAGCUUUGGUUCAAGCUGAGGGUCCUGCAAGUCCAGGUGCCAGUUCCGGACCACGCCGUCUGUCUACACCAAAUCUGAUGUGCAAUCCAGAUAAGCCAGAUGGUCCUGCUUUCCACUCCAGCACUCUGGAAAGGAAGACACCCAUUCAGAUCCUGGGGCAAGAGCCUGAUGCAGAGAUGGUGGAAUAUCUCAUCUAAAGGCCACAUCAAGCGCUGGAGUUAUCAGCAAGAGUUCUUUUUAAUAAUGUUUCCCUUUCAUUUGUUUAAUCUGGGGUGAAGAUGGGGUUGGGAGGUGGGGAUGAUUUUUCUAAAGGGACUUUUUAUUGGACUCUGGUAGUACAUAAGUAAUGCCAUAGAAAUGAAUUCCAAUCUAUUUUGGAAUC